AUUGAACGCUGGCGGCAGGCUUAACACAUGCAAGUCGAACGAGUGGCGGACGGGUGAGUAAUGUCUGGGAACCUGCCCGAUGGAGGGGGAUAACUACUGGAAACGGUAGCUAAUACCGCAUACUAUCAGAUGUGCCGAGAUGGGAUUAGCUAGUUGGUGGGGUAACGGCUCACCAAGGCGACGAUCCCUAGCUGGUCUGAGAGGAUGACCAGCCACACUGGUACUGAGACACGGUCCAGACUCCUACGGGAGGCAGCAGUGGGGAAUAUUGGACAAUGGGGGCAAGCCUGAUGCAGCCAUGCCGCGUGUAUGAAGAAGGCCUUCGGGUUGUAAAGUACUUUCAGCGGGGAGGCGUUACCCGCAGAAGAAGCACCGGCUAACUCCGUGCCAGCAGCCGCGGUAAUUC
This 406-nucleotide ribosomal RNA is filed under the name uncultured bacterium. RNAcentral describes it as "partial 16S ribosomal RNA". It matches the Rfam family "Bacterial small subunit ribosomal RNA", at positions 30 to 526 of the family's 1533-position model. The record is from RNAcentral.